CGGUAAUUCCAGCUCCAAUAGCGUAUACUAAAGUUGUUGCAGUUAAAAAGCUCGUAGUCGGAUUUCUGCGCGGGUGGGGCAGCCAGUGCCGCUUUUGGCUCAGCGCUAGCAACGCCCGCGCAUCCUGCCGCGAACGUCGCUACCAUUAGUUUGGUGGCGCUUCGGGAUCGGCUCGUUUACUUUGAGAAAAAUAGAGUGUUCAAAGCAGGCCAACCCGCCUUGAAUAAGUUAGCAUGGAAUAAUGAUAAAGGACUUCGGUUCUAUUUUGUUGGUGUUCCGGGACUGAAGUAAUGAUUGAUAGGGACGGUUGGGGGCCUCAGUAUUUCGGAGCGAGAGGUGAAAUUCUUAGACCUCCGGAAGACUAACCGCUGCGAAAGCGUUGGCCAAGGACGUUCCCUUUGAUCAAGAACGAAAGUUGGGGGAUCGAAGACCAUCAGAUACGGUCGUAGUCUCAACUAUAAACUAUACCAGCUAGGGAUCGGCCGAUGUUGUAACCUUAAGACUCGGUCGGCACCUUAUGAGAAAUCAAAGCAUCUGGGUUCCGGGGGGGAGUAUGGUCGCAAGGCUGAAACUUAAAGGAAUUGACGGAAGGGCACCACCAGCCGUGGAGCCUGCGGCUUAAUUUGACUCAACACGGGGAAACUUACCAGGUCCAGACAUUGUGAGGAUUGACAGAUUGACAGCUCUUUCUUGAUUCUAUGGGUGGCGGGGCAUGUCCGUUCUUAGUUGGUGGAGUGUUUGGUUAGGUUAAUUCCGUUAACGAACGAGACCCCGACAUGAUAAUAAUAGCGCGCGUGACAUUUCAUUCCUCGCCAGCUAGCUUAUUAGAGGGACUAGUGCUUGACUCUAGGCACGUGAAGUCCGAGGCAAUAUCAGGUAUGUGAUGCCAUUAGAUGUUCUGGGCCGCGCGCGGGCUGCACCGGCCCCUGCAAAGAUCAUAUCAGCUGAGCCGAUAGGGUAUGGUAUGUCUAAUGUUUUGAACCGGCGCCGGGGUUGGGAUCGACCUUUUCAAUUUUGGGUAGCGCAGCGAGGAAUGCAUAGUAAAUUCGUGUCAUCAACUUCGCGUAGAAUACGUCCCUGCCCACAGUACACACCAACCAAGAGGUGAAUCCA
This 1113-nucleotide ribosomal RNA is filed under the name uncultured eukaryote. RNAcentral describes it as "bacterial SSU rRNA". It matches the Rfam family "Eukaryotic small subunit ribosomal RNA", at positions 577 to 1831 of the family's 1831-position model. The record is from RNAcentral.